AAAAUCCGUCGACUUUAGAAAUGUGAGGGUUCAAGUCCCUCUAUCCCCA
RNAcentral lists this transfer RNA (49 nucleotides) under Prunus maritima. RNAcentral's name for it is "partial tRNA-Leu". The record is from RNAcentral. Lineage: Eukaryota; Viridiplantae; Streptophyta; Magnoliopsida; Rosales; Rosaceae.